UACAGGGGGUGCAAACGUUGCUCGGAAUCAUUGGGCGUAAAGCGCACGUAGGCGGUUUGUUAUGUCGGAUGUGAAAGCCCUUGGCUCAACUGAGGAAGUGCAUCCGAAACUGGCAAGCUAGAGCACUAAAGAGGGUCGCGGAAUUCCCGGUGUAGAGGUGAAAUUCGUAGAUAUCGGGAGGAACACCGGUGGCGAAGGCGGCGACCUGGGUAGAUACUGACGCUGAGGUGCGAAAGCGUGGGGAGCAAACAGG
This 253-nucleotide ribosomal RNA is filed under the name uncultured bacterium. RNAcentral's name for it is "partial 16S ribosomal RNA". It matches the Rfam family "Bacterial small subunit ribosomal RNA", at positions 524 to 776 of the family's 1533-position model. The record is from RNAcentral.